This 1261-nucleotide long non-coding RNA is filed under the name Anser cygnoides (Swan goose). Its description in RNAcentral is "lncRNA (ENSACDG00005015246.1)". The record is from RNAcentral. Lineage: Eukaryota; Metazoa; Chordata; Aves; Anseriformes; Anatidae.
CAUAGGUUUGAAUAUCAGAGGCUGCUUGAGUCCCACAUUCCUCCCUUCUAGUUGCCUGAUCUUCUGGUAGGCUUGCAAGCAUUCCCAGUGAUGCAGUAGCUGAUGAGGGAGCUGCAGGGACAUGCUAUCAAGCUGAUUUCACUCAACAAAUAGAAAUCCUUUGUGGACCACUGAAAAAUGCGGUUUCCUGGGGAGUUAAUAAAAGUGGAUUCGAAAAACAAAGUUAGUUGUUCAAAACCUAAGGCCAAAAAGAGAAAGCUGAAUUUUCUAUUAGCCUGCAGCAUGUGUAAUUUCAAACCAUUUCAACCUACUUUGCCUCAGACAUUUUAACCUUGAGGAAGGUAACUACAAAAGCUGCAGGGUAACAGAAUCCAGUUCUUAGCACUUGUUUCUCUAUUUAUUUAUUUAAUCAUACCUCCCUAUGUAGCAUUUUAUGGAGUGACACUAUGCAGCAGCACAUCAUCUUUCUUUCACUGUGCUAUGUCUACACUGCUCCUGGUGCCUUCGCAGUGGGAGUCUUUGUGUAGUGUGUUGAGCCACCAUGCUGUACUUCCCUUGGCUGCUUGUUUCUCACUCUCUGCCCCUUACAAGCACAACUGGGGCCACUUACGAUAACGCGGGACCUCGCAAAGCUCCCGCAACCCUCAGCAGACCCUGAGCAAACCGUCGGUGCACUGGCACACCUGUGAGGUGCCACCUGGCUGCGUUACCCCCUCAUGGACGCGGGGGGGGGGCAAAGAAGCAGCACGCUGGCUGCCUGGGCCAGCACCUCACGCCCCCGGCCGCCACUCCUCAGCCGAGCCUCGGCGCACCUGCGGCUCCUGACUGGGAGAGAGCCGCAGAGCCGCAGCCCCGGCUCUGGAAGGGACCGGGGCUGGAAGGGGGCUCAGCCCCGCCGCCGGAUCCGCACGCACCUGCUGCCGGCCGCCGCCUGCCCCGCUCCGUUCCCCGCCCGGCGCGGCGCCCCCUCCUCCCCGCCCACCAUUUUCUUUCCUCUCAGACAGGCACAGCGGCGGGCGGGCGACCGCCUUCGUCUCCCUCCCCUUCUCCUCAGAUGCCCUUUGCUGCUGCAGGGUUAUUAUUACAAUCAUGUAGAAAGGACAGAAAGUGAGCAGGGAGCGGGGGCUUUUGUCUAUCCUUGUGCUACCUGAGAGAAGCUGCAGUCCCAAGACCUUACAGUCUAAAAAUGGUUAAUCAGCCAAGGUCAACUAUUAUCCAGACAAUCUUCCCAACCAGCCAAGGGGAUGGGGGAUUUCCAGAG